GGGGGUAUAGCUCAGAUGGAUAGAGCAACGGCCUUCUAAGCCGUAGGUCUCAGGUUCGAAUCCUGAUACCCUCACCA
Molecule: transfer RNA, 77 nt
Filed under: Gammaproteobacteria bacterium
Lineage: Bacteria; Pseudomonadati; Pseudomonadota; Gammaproteobacteria
Also listed under: 1 other name
Description: tRNA-Arg
Rfam family: tRNA
About the family: Transfer RNA (tRNA) molecules are approximately 80 nucleotides in length. Their secondary structure includes four short double-helical elements and three loops (D, anti-codon, and T loops). Further hydrogen bonds mediate the characteristic L-shaped molecular structure. tRNAs have two regions of fundamental functional importance: the anti-codon, which is responsible for specific mRNA codon recognition, and the 3' end, to which the tRNAs corresponding amino acid is attached (by aminoacyl-tRNA synthetases). tRNAs cope with the degeneracy of the genetic code in two manners: having more than one tRNA (with a specific anti-codon) for a particular amino acid; and 'wobble' base-pairing, i.e. permitting non-standard base-pairing at the 3rd anti-codon position.
Source: RNAcentral